RNAcentral lists this unclassified non-coding RNA (2461 nucleotides) under Leishmania donovani. Its description in RNAcentral is "gene:LdHU3.31.3800(CDS-product:CRAL/TRIO_domain_c ontaining_protein_putative)". Lineage: Eukaryota; Euglenozoa; Kinetoplastea; Trypanosomatida; Trypanosomatidae. The record is from RNAcentral.
AGCGUGCACAGCGCCACACUCAAGGAAGACAAGGCCCAAUUAUCCUGCAGGACCAGAAAAACGGAAAAGGGAAAAAAACGAAGACGCCCAUUCAUCGAUUGCCACCACGCACCUUCGCCGCGACGACUUGCCGAGACGCGGGUCGCUUUCAUUUUUUGUGUGUGGAGGGAGGGAAAGGGUUCGCUUUUGGUUGAAGCGGCGCCGUCUUGUUGCGGAGUGCUGCCGUCUUGCAACGCUCCCUACCUCCCCACUUCUCCCGCGCUUCGGCGCUUUCUUUUCUAUCCUUGUCGUUGGUGCACCGCCAACCCCUCUCACUCAUUUCGCUUGCAUCGUCACCAGAAUCGCACUCUUCGAAGCCGUAAUGUCCGCGGCAGCCUCCGCACCGCGGCAUCGCCGGUAUGUCGAUAUGACGCCCGAAAGGGAGCAGAAGAUUACUCAGCUUGUGCAGCUCAUGAAAGAGACCUAUGACCCGCUUCCGAAACAGCUGCAAAUCCUGCUGUAUUACUCGCCGACUUCAGAGGACGCGCCGACGCCGCACAACACCACGCGCAGCUACUGCUACUGCGCCCUCAUCUCUCGCCAGUGGGACGUGCAGAAGGCGUUUGAAGCCAUGAAAAAGAACGUGGCGUACCGCCUGCAGUGCCGCCUCGAUGAACGCAGUGAGCUGCCGUCGGCGGUUUCGAUCCGCGGGUGGGACGAGAUGGAGGUGGUGCGUGCGCUGGGCAAGGAGGAGCGGGCAAGUAAUCAGCGCGCCGAUGAGAUCAUCGCCAAGCUCGAGCGAUACUUCCCAUGUGGUCUUCACUACUGGGACAGGUACGGACAGCCUGUCUUCUACCUCAUGCUGGGCAGCGUUGACGAAGAAAACCUACUGAAGGAGCUGAAGCAGACCACGGAUGUAGGUGAGUCCAUGGACGCUGUCAUGUGGGAGAUGCUGCAGCACCUGUUGGGUUCGGGUGAGUGGCUUGCGUACUACCAGCAAAUGCAGUACGAUGCGGGUCAGCUCAAGGUGGACGCCUCCGAAGGGCUCAUCCGAGCAACCACGAUCGUAGUUGACCUGCUGGGGUUCACGUACAAGAUGAUCUGGAAGCCGGCGAUUGAUCUCUUCGUCACCUGUCUCAAGACACUGUUCGCCCACUACCCCGAGUGCGUGCACCACAUUCUCGUGGUGAAUGCGCCGUCGAUGGUAACGUUCGCCUAUGGCAUCAUUCGCCACGUUCUUCCUGGCACGGUGCAGGCAAAGGUUCGCAUGGCUAAACCGAGUGAAUCGCUGGCGCUUCUGCAGGAGCACAUCGAGGAGCAGUACGUGCCAGACUUUUACGGCGGCGCGUGUCACUGCCAGGGUGGCUGCGUGCGUUCGUACAGGCCGAAGAACGCCGCUAGCGGCACCACCACCUUUGACCAGGACGAUACCCAGAGCGCCGCGGAGUAGAUCCCGAUGGAAGGCGGUGCCGUCACCGAGGAUAUCUCGCUGAGGGAUGGCGCCACACGCAAGGUAUUUUCCCUGCUCCCGAGCGAGUCCGUUGCGCGAAGCGUUGCAUCGUCGAGUGGGCACGAUCCCGUCUUGGCGGGCCUCCGUCAUCCCUCAUGCGCAGGCGCAAGGCGUCGACAUGGACAAGGUGGAUGUGCGCUCAUCGAAACCGUACGUGGCUUCCAAGUUAAAACCGUUCGAGAACUUGAGUGAGUACGCCGCUACAGCGGAGGGUGUGAUGGUCCGGGUGUGGGGCAAAAAGAAGUCCUGGGUGAUGUCGAAGCACCUUCAGAUGAAGGCCUUCAAGCAGCACGCACAGCUGCUCCAUAAACAGUGUGUAAAGAAGUGAUUCCGUAUGCAGCCGUUUUUUCGGCGACGGAGGCGACAACGAAGCGGCAGCGUUUAGCGCGAGUGCGCCACACGCAAAGACCGCCAGCGACACCGUAACGAAGAGGAGGAGGCGCUCUAUAUUGUACGACUGCUACAGGGGGUCCGCGCCGUAUGCGGUGUCGAGGCACCCAGCGGAAGUGAAAGGCCCCUAUCGCUUCCUUUCUUUUUGUGUUCUUUUCUUUCUUUUCCUCAUUGGCUUCUCUCUCUCACUGCUUUUAUCCUCCAGUGCCGCUGCUCCGCCUCCGCAGUGUUCAUCCUCCCUUUUUUCUGUGUGUACAUGUGCGUGCGUGCGCGCGUACGCGCGUGUGUGUCUUCGUACCUCUGCUUCGCUUAUGUUUUCGAGGGAGAAUGUGGGUAUGUCUGCGGUGUCUCCUCCGCUGUGGUUUUUUUUUUGUUUGGUUGGUUGGUUUGUGCGUUCCUGUCCCGAUAUGAGCGGGUGGGCGCAUCGGGGUCUGUGCCGAGCCGCUGCGUGUGGCAGGUACAUCUGACUCCUCUCCCACGUGUGUGCGCCUGCGCAUGCGAAGGGGUGUUUCGUCUCUCCUUGGAUUGAUUGGAAGUGCGUGUUCAUGUGCACAGAUACCCGUAGACUCGGCACACACGGAC